GUCUUCAUUGUGGUGGUUGUUUUCCAAUUUGAAAAUGGCGUCGCCUCAAACCGCAACGAAUCUCACGAGUGUUCAAGUGCGGCCAGAUUAUCAGCACUAUGGGCUCGCGAUCCGCAACUACAUCAAGGGACGGAAAUCCGAUUGCGUCUUGGUAUGCGGGAAUCGGGCCUUCAACCUUCAUCGCUCCGUGUUGUAUUCGUCCACGGGAUUGAUCCAAGGGAAAUCAUGAGACGUUCCAACAGGGACCCGAUUGUCGUCGAAAGAGGUUCACCGGUCUGAUCGAGCAAUGCCUGUCCGUGAUCUACAGAGGACAGGGUAUCUUCACUUGCGAGCAGUUGCCACUGUUCUAUCGGAUGGCCACCGCUAUUCAGUUGAAAUUGGGCGUGGCAUAUCACUCUCUCCAAAAUCCGUCAGACAUCCCUAUGAGUAUUUUCAAACCCUCGACUGAAGCACAAGAGAAUAAUGAGUCUACUCCUGCUGCCAAUUGCUCUGGCCAGAAUACUUCAAUCGAUCGACCUGCUUUGGCGCGGUUGGACGUCAAUUUAGGCCCAGGCGACCCUGAUUGAUGACCCAAGUGACUUAACGGGAGAGGGAACUAGUCAUGCUCGUCGUUGAAGCUCCUACUAGUUAGGAGAGGAAAAGGUGUCCCAUAGAAAUUCGAAAGAAGGCAAUGGCAUACCCGAAGAAAACCAAUCAAUCUGAAAAUUGGCAACGACAAUUGAUUUGAGCUCAUUUCAACUUCUGACAGCCGGCCGUCCGGUCAACCAUGCUCUUUAGGGGAAGAAUAUAAGUAGAGAAAUCAUACUUAGUGAAAAAAACACAUGGGAUUAUAUGGUCACCACGUCGGAUAAACAUGUAGUCAGUGAGGCUGGAAAGAAAGUUGAUGGGUCCUUAUGAACUUUUAACCUAAAAUUGCCCACGUUGGCCUAAAACAUUAAAAGAACGGUAGUGUUCGAAUUGUAUUGGCAUAUCCUCCUUAACAUUUCCUUUAAGCUCAAUGAUAACCUGUACUAACGAUAUUCCCAAGAUAUAAUGCUCGAAGUUUGGAAUGCUCGGACUUUAAUUACCUUGACAAGAAGGGGGUUGCAAAAUGCAUAUUCAACAUGUUACCCUAUCCAAAUAACCUACUUUUUAGUUAUCAGUCCGUCCACAUAUGGGUGCAUUUGCAUAUUUUUUUAUCUGAUAACAAUACCACACAUUCACAACGCCUAAUGAUUAAAUAUAUUUUUUAAUACUCGUAUCCUGGAGGAGCUAGAGCCAUUUCCCUUAAU
Long non-coding RNA from Tigriopus californicus, 1271 nucleotides. RefSeq lists it as uncharacterized. Lineage: Eukaryota; Metazoa; Arthropoda; Copepoda; Harpacticoida; Harpacticidae. The transcript is spliced from 3 exons. The record is from RefSeq and is a predicted model, not a curated record.